ACAAGCUUGGAGCAAUCAAAUGCAGCUGAGGCCAAUUUAAAACAAAACAAAACAACAUCAACAAAAAUCUAUCUGUUCUCAUGGCAGGGGGAUUUGCAGAGCUGUUGCUGAACAAUAGCUCUCAGGGUAUGAAAGGCUUGCUCGGAAGUUACCCCCAUUAAGCACGUUAAGGGUUCUCACCAUGCAGGGUGCUUGCAUUGUAACCCUCUGGGGAGCUGUGCAUCAGUGUGCAAGGACAACGUGGGGGAAGAGGCAUGCAGGAAAGGAACCUUUAAAAGAAAGUGUCUGGUUACUGGACACUUGUGUCUCAUUGGUGAAAAAAAAUGGGAAAGUAAAACCUGGCAAACUAGACCCAGAGCCACCAGCACCACACCACUGUGCAGAGCAGGAAGCUCAGAGCAGCAUUCCUCGCUGCUGGCUCCAGUGGAAUUCCCCUGGCGGACAGAGCUGCCCAGCCUCAGCGUGGCUGUGUGCUCUGGAGCAGAGCGGACCCGUGCAGAAUAGAUGCAUCACUGACAGAAAUACAGCUCUGAUAAAUGCUGGCACUGAGUUAUCCACACUAAAGGCCCACACGCCAUCCUGGGCAGUGACUACAGCACAAGAGCCACUACAUUCCUUUCAUUAUUUCAGAUGGGGCUGGAACCCACACCCACUACUGUUGCUCAGCAUGAAAAUACUGUGA
Molecule: long non-coding RNA, 682 nt
Filed under: Junco hyemalis (dark-eyed junco)
Lineage: Eukaryota; Metazoa; Chordata; Aves; Passeriformes; Passerellidae
Description: lncRNA (ENSJHYG00000017721.1)
Source: RNAcentral